Molecule: ribosomal RNA, 691 nt
Filed under: uncultured Eubacteriales bacterium
Lineage: Bacteria; Bacillati; Bacillota; Clostridia; Eubacteriales
Description: bacterial SSU rRNA
Rfam family: Bacterial small subunit ribosomal RNA
Source: RNAcentral
AUGAAACUUAAAUGAUUUCUUCGGAAUGAACUUAAGUGGAUUAGUGGCGGACGGGUGAGUAACGCGUGAGUAACCUGCCUUACACAAGGGGAUAGCCGUUGGAAACGACGAAUAAUACCCAAUGAAACUAUCACUUCGCAUGAAGCGAUAGUCGAAGUGUUAGCGGUGUAAGAUGGACUUGCGUCUGAUUAGCUAGUUGGUGAGAAAAAAGCCCACCAAGGCAACGAUCAGUAGCCGGCUUGAGAGAGUGUACGGCCACAUUGGGACUGAGACACGGCCCAGACUCCUACGGGAGGCAGCAGUGGGGAAUUUUGCACAAUGGGGGAAACCCUGAUGCAGCGACGCCGCGUGAUUUAGAAGGCCUUCGGGUUGUAAAAAUCUUUUGUAUAGGAAGAAAAUGACAGUACUAUACGAAUAAGGUCCGGCUAAUUACGUGCCAGCAGCCGCGGUAAUACGUAAGGACCGAGCGUUGUCCGGAAUCAUUGGGCGUAAAGGGUACGUAGGCGGGUCAUUAAGUUAGAAGUCAAAGGCUAUAGCUCAACUAUAGUAAGCUUCUAAAACUGGCGACCUUGAGUAAUGGAAGGGAAAGUGGAAUUCCUAGUGUAGCGGUGGAAUGCGCAGAUAUUAGGAGGAAUACCGGUGGCGAAGGCGACUUUCUGGCCAUUAACUGACGCUGAGGUACGAAAGCGUG